RNAcentral lists this unclassified non-coding RNA (356 nucleotides) under uncultured fungus. RNAcentral's name for it is "partial contains 5.8S ribosomal RNA and internal transcribed spacer 2". The stretch from base 1 to 133 matches the Rfam family "5.8S ribosomal RNA", at positions 22 to 154 of the family's 154-position model. Lineage: Eukaryota; Fungi. The record is from RNAcentral.
UGGCUCUCGCAUCGAUGAAGAACGCAGCGAAAUGCGAUAAGUAAUGUGAAUUGCAGAAUUCAGUGAAUCAUCGAAUCUUUGAACGCACCUUGCACCCUCUGGUAUUCCGAAGGGUACGCCCGUUUGAGUGUCAUUGUACUCUCAACCCCACGACUUUUUUGUUGUGUGGGUUGGACUUGGAUCUUGUCGUGAUUUGCGACUGAUCCGAAAUGCAUUAGUGUGUGUCUGUCGUGACAAUAAACCGAUUGUUAAGUUUCAUCGGGCUCGCUCUGUCGAGGUUGUCUGGCGAAAGCACAUGCCAAACCCCCCUUCAUUUUUGACAAUUUGACCUCAAAUCGGGUGGGAUCACCCGCUGA